Molecule: ribosomal RNA, 228 nt
Filed under: uncultured bacterium
Lineage: Bacteria
Description: partial 16S rRNA
Rfam family: Bacterial small subunit ribosomal RNA
Source: RNAcentral
GUGCCAGCAGCCGCGGUAAUACGAAGGGGGCUAGCGUUGUUCGGAAUUACUGGGCGUAAAGGGCGCGUAGGCGGCCUGUUAAGUUAGGAGUGAAAGCCCCGGGCUCAACCUGGGAAUUGCUCUUAAUACUGGCAGGCUUGAGUUCCGGAGAGGAUGGUGGAAUUCCCAGUGUAGGGGUAAAAUUCGAAGAUAGUGGAAAGAACACCGGUGGCGAAGGCGGCCAUCUGG